This 307-nucleotide long non-coding RNA is filed under the name Nicotiana benthamiana. RNAcentral describes it as "long non-coding RNA (NBEN_LNC014255)". The record is from RNAcentral. Lineage: Eukaryota; Viridiplantae; Streptophyta; Magnoliopsida; Solanales; Solanaceae.
GUGGUUGACACUUUAGCUGCAUAAACACUUGUUCUCUUGUCCGAUCCAUCAGUAAGAGAAUCAACUGCCUUCCUCUUUUUGCUAGAAGUGAAUGGUUUUCCAUCUUGGUCAUCUUCACAAUGUAGAGAAUUCUCACAUUCCACAUGAACCAUCAGCUCUGACAUGCUUCGCUCUUUCUUUUUCGUCUGACUUACAUUCCACAUCAACCAUCAGCUCUGACAUGCUUCGCUCUUUUUUUUUCGUCUGGGAAAUACCUUUUGAACCAUGCUUACGUUUGUGAGCAGAGACUUUACCGGUGGGAUGUUGC